UACGGAGGGGGCAAGCGUUACUCGGAAUUAUUGGGCGUAAAGGGCGCGUAGGCGGUUCCGUGCGUCGGAGGUGAAAUCCCCGGGCUUAACCCGGGAGCUGCCCCCGAUACGGCGGGACUUGAGUCCGGGAGAGGGGAGCAGAAUUCCCAGUGUAGCGGUGAAAUGCGUAGAUAUUGGGAGGAAUACCAGUGGCGAAGGCGGCUCCCUGGACCGGUACUGACGCUGAGGCGCGAAAGCGUGGGUAGCAAACAGG
RNAcentral lists this ribosomal RNA (253 nucleotides) under uncultured bacterium. Its description in RNAcentral is "partial 16S ribosomal RNA". It matches the Rfam family "Bacterial small subunit ribosomal RNA", at positions 524 to 776 of the family's 1533-position model. RNAcentral also lists the same sequence under 1 other name. The record is from RNAcentral.